RNAcentral lists this long non-coding RNA (212 nucleotides) under Danio rerio (zebrafish). RNAcentral describes it as "si:dkey-207j16.9 (ENSDARG00000095994.4)". Lineage: Eukaryota; Metazoa; Chordata; Actinopteri; Cypriniformes; Danionidae. The record is from RNAcentral.
UGAAACUCAGAGUCUGGAGAAUCAUCCAGGUCAGAGGAGGUGGACUGACUUCUCUUCAUCCUGACCAACACAUUUUAAAUAUGAUUAGAAGGUGAGUGUGUGUCCAAUGCUUUCUGCUUCUUAGUUUGCACUCCGGCCAAAUCCAAGUGCUCCGUCCCCUUCUGCUCUCCCUCAGCUGCCAAAAAGCCAAUAAUAGAGUUAAUCUUACAAAC